UUUAUUUUCAAAUAUUCUCUAAUAAACUUUAAAUCUGUUCUUAUCAGUUUAAUAACUGAUAAGUCCUUUAUUUAAGGACUGUAUGUUAAAUUGAUUUUUGAAACAAGGGGAUGGAAUAGGAGCUUGCUCUGUCCACCCUAUGCAUUGAUCUGGUAUUGCAGUGUCUCCAGGACCAGUGCCUCUCCU
Mauremys reevesii (Reeves's turtle) is the source of this 186-nucleotide small nuclear RNA. RefSeq annotates it as U2 spliceosomal RNA. Lineage: Eukaryota; Metazoa; Chordata; Testudines; Geoemydidae. The record is from RefSeq and is a predicted model, not a curated record. The transcript has a single exon.